CUGCUGGUAUUCUCUGCGAUGAUA
RNAcentral lists this microRNA (24 nucleotides) under Caenorhabditis briggsae. RNAcentral describes it as "Cbr-Mir-36-o10_5p* (star (passenger))". The record is from RNAcentral. Lineage: Eukaryota; Metazoa; Nematoda; Chromadorea; Rhabditida; Rhabditidae.